UUAAGCGACUAAGCGUACACGGUGGAUGCCCUGGCAGUCAGAGGCGAUGAAGGGCGUGCUAAUCUGCGAUAAGCGCCGGUAAGGUGAUAUGAACCGUUAUAACCGGCGAUACCCGAAUGGGGAAACCCAGUGUGAUUCGUCACACUAUCAUUAACUGAAUCCAUAGGUUAAUGAGGCGAACCGGGGGAACUGAAACAUCUAAGUACCCCGAGGAAAAGAAAUCAACCGAGAUUCCCCCAGUAGCGGCGAGCGAACGGGGAGGAGCCCAGAGCCUGAAUCAGCAUGUGUGUUAGUGGAAGCGUCUGGAAAGGCGCGCGAUACAGGGUGACAGCCCCGUACACAAAAGCGCAUGUGCUGUGAGCUCGAUGAGUAGGGCGGGACACGUGGUAUCCUGUCUGAAUAUGGGGGGACCAUCCUCCAAGGCUAAAUACUCCUGACUGACCGAUAGUGAACCAGUACCGUGAGGGAAAGGCGAAAAGAACCCCGGCGAGGGGAGUGAAAAAGAACCUGAAACCGUGUACGUACAAGCAGUGGGAGCCCCACCACCAAAGCAUUCUCUGGUGUUGAAGGCCCUGCAAAGCAGCAUCGCGGUGGCGGAGCGUCGUUUGCGACGCCCAACACACAAAACAAGCGGUGAAUGCUUUGGGGUGGGGUGACUGCGUACCUUUUGUAUAAUGGGUCAGCGACUUAUAUUCUGUAGCAAGGUUAACCGAAUAGGGGAGCCGGAGGGAAACCGAGUCUUAAUUGGGCGUUAAGUUGCAGGGUAUAGACCCGAAACCCGGUGAUCUAGCCAUGGGCAGGUUGAAGGUUGGGUAACACUAACUGGAGGACCGAACCGACUAAUGUUGAAAAAUUAGCGGAUGACCUGUGGCUGGGGGUGAAAGGCCAAUCAAACCGGGAGAUAGCUGGUUCUCCCCGAAAGCUAUUUAGGUAGCGCCUCGUGAAUUCAUCUCCGGGGGUAGAGCACUGUUUCGGCUAGGGGGCCAUCCCGGCUUACCAACCCGAUGCAAACUGCGAAUACCGGAGAAUGUUAUCACGGGAGACACACGGCGGGUGCUAACGUCCGUCGUGAAGAGGGAAACAACCCAGACCGCCAGCUAAGGUCCCAAAGUCAUGGUUAAGUGGGAAACGAUGUGGGAAGGCCCAGACAGCCAGGAUGUUGGCUUAGAAGCAGCCAUCAUUUAAAGAAAGCGUAAUAGCUCACUGGUCGAGUCGGCCUGCGCGGAAGAUGUAACGGGGCUAAACCAUGCACCGAAGCUGCGGCAGCGAACGUAUCACCCAAGACAACUUUACGGAGUUGACGAUUGACGGAGCGAAGCGACGUCAAAGCGUUCAUUAAAGUCGAGUUGGCUUAGGGAUACGUUCGUUGGGUAGGGGAGCGUUCUGUAAGCCUGUGAAGGUGUGUCGUGAGGCAUGCUGGAGGUAUCAGAAGUGCGAAUGCUGACAUAAGUAACGAUAAAGCGGGUGAAAAGCCCGCUCGCCGGAAGACCAAGGGUUCCUGUCCAACGUUAAUCGGGGCAGGGUGAGUCGACCCCUAAGGCGAGGCCGAAAGGCGUAGUCGAUGGGAAACGGGUUAAUAUUCCCGUACUUGGUGUUACUGCGAAGGGGGGACGGAGAAGGCUAUGUUGGCCGGGCGACGGUUGUCCCGGUUUAAGCGUGUAGGUGUGUGUUCCAGGUAAAUCCGGUUCACUUUAACACUGAGGCGUGAUGACGAGGCACUACGGUGCUGAAGCAACAAAUGCCCUGCUUCCAGGAAAAGCCUCUAAGCAUCAGGUAACAUCAAAUCGUACCCCAAACCGACACAGGUGGUCAGGUAGAGAAUACCAAGGCGCUUGAGAGAACUCGGGUGAAGGAACUAGGCAAAAUGGUGCCGUAACUUCGGGAGAAGGCACGCUGACACGUAGGUGAAGUGAUUUACUCACGGAGCUGAAGUCAGUCGAAGAUACCAGCUGGCUGCAACUGUUUAUUAAAAACACAGCACUGUGCAAACACGAAAGUGGACGUAUACGGUGUGACGCCUGCCCGGUGCCGGAAGGUUAAUUGAUGGGGUCAGCGCAAGCGAAGCUCCUGAUCGAAGCCCCGGUAAACGGCGGCCGUAACUAUAACGGUCCUAAGGUAGCGAAAUUCCUUGUCGGGUAAGUUCCGACCUGCACGAAUGGCGUAAUGAUGGCCAGGCUGUCUCCACCCGAGACUCAGUGAAAUUGAACUCGCUGUGAAGAUGCAGUGUACCCGCGGCAAGACGGAAAGACCCCGUGAACCUUUACUAUAGCUUGACACUGAACAUUGAGCCUUGAUGUGUAGGAUAGGUGGGAGGCUUUGAAGUGUGGACGCCAGUCUGCAUGGAGCCGACCUUGAAAUACCACCCUUUAAUGUUUGAUGUUCUAACGUGGACCCGUAAUCCGGGUUGCGGACAGUGUCUGGUGGGUAGUUUGACUGGGGCGGUCUCCUCCUAAAGAGUAACGGAGGAGCACGAAGGUUGGCUAAUCCUGGUCGGACAUCAGGAGGUUAGUGCAAUGGCAUAAGCCAGCUUGACUGCGAGCGUGACGGCGCGAGCAGGUGCGAAAGCAGGUCAUAGUGAUCCGGUGGUUCUGAAUGGAAGGGCCAUCGCUCAACGGAUAAAAGGUACUCCGGGGAUAACAGGCUGAUACCGCCCAAGAGUUCAUAUCGACGGCGGUGUUUGGCACCUCGAUGUCGGCUCAUCACAUCCUGGGGCUGAAGUAGGUCCCAAGGGUAUGGCUGUUCGCCAUUUAAAGUGGUACGCGAGCUGGGUUUAGAACGUCGUGAGACAGUUCGGUCCCUAUCUGCCGUGGGCGCUGGAGAACUGAGGGGGGCUGCUCCUAGUACGAGAGGACCGGAGUGGACGCAUCACUGGUGUUCGGGUUGUCAUGCCAAUGGCACUGCCCGGUAGCUAAAUGCGGAAGAGAUAAGUGCUGAAAGCAUCUAAGCACGAAACUUGCCCCGAGAUGAGUUCUCCCUGAGACUUUAGGUCUCCUGAAGGAACGUUGAAGACGACGACGUUGAUAGGCCGGGUGUGUAAGCGCAGCGAUGCGUUGAGCUAACCGGUACUAAUGAACCGUGAGGCUUAACCUU
Molecule: ribosomal RNA, 3090 nt
Filed under: Salmonella enterica subsp. enterica serovar Typhimurium str. UK-1
Lineage: Bacteria; Pseudomonadati; Pseudomonadota; Gammaproteobacteria; Enterobacterales; Enterobacteriaceae
Description: bacterial LSU rRNA
Rfam family: Bacterial large subunit ribosomal RNA
Source: RNAcentral